Molecule: long non-coding RNA, 829 nt
Filed under: Gopherus agassizii (Agassiz's desert tortoise)
Lineage: Eukaryota; Metazoa; Chordata; Testudines; Testudinidae
Description: lncRNA (ENSGAGG00000014577.1)
Source: RNAcentral
CUUGAAUGAAGAGAUAAGAUCCUUUUUAUAACAAAUUAAUGAAAAAAUUACAAAAUGUUUUAUAAAUAUAGAUGGUUAAAUAUUUUUGUUUUUUAUUGGUAGGAAUGGAAGAAGAGCCUAUAUAUGAGUACAUGGCAACCGAGGGACCGUCGGAGGAUAGUGAUGUCAAGAACCAACCGAUAGACCCCGAGUCAUGGAAAGAUGGCGACGUUGUUACGAUAACCAAGCUGGGUCUGUACAAGAUUACUGCUCUGGUGUGUGACAAGUGGUCAACAGGUACAGAGCCAGAAGCACAUGAGGAAGUAAAGGCAGCUUAAAUUAUUUGAAAGAAAAGAAAUAUAUCUAUGUAAGCCACUGGUUAAACGUUACUAUACGGUUGGCUUAAUAAUAGGUUGCUGAAACCAUGAUCGACGGAGCCCUCGCCGGUGGUGAUUUAGAAACAAACAACACAAACAGGGUGUGCAGCGACUGGUUGUCAACUGUAGAACCAAAAGAACAUGAUGAGGAAGGUACCACGGGGCCCGACGGUGCAUCAGCUGAGGAUGAUAAUGAUGAUUCAGAAUCAGACAAAGAUACGACUGAGACAUCUUCAGAGGAUGAAGAGGAUAAAGAGAGGCGGCCUUUGAGCAGAAUAACCGUGAUAUGCACCUGUUGUUUUUGCUUGAAGCAAGAUUUUAAAAAAGAGUCUGUAAAAAGUAAGGAGGGUGACCAGAAGAGCUGCGAAGAUGACAUUAUGGCUGAUAUUAUUAGGGCCGUUGUAGUAAAAGCCAUUUACCACUGUUUGAAAAAACAACUUUUGGAAAACUGUGCAGCCUGCGUGGUAAACGAG